ACGUUCAUACAUAGACAUACACUUAAAACACAAGAUAUAUUUGUGAUGUAUAGUAAAUAGGGAGAUUGGUAUUAAGGUAGAAUGAAGGUGGCUAGCUCGAAUUACUAACCAAAGGGGACAAAUUUGAAUUAAUAGAAUAAGGACUGUUAAAGUUGCAAAUGUGACAGAAAAAGGUAAUAUGGAAAAU
Molecule: non-coding RNA, 187 nt
Organism: Notechis scutatus (mainland tiger snake)
Lineage: Eukaryota; Metazoa; Chordata; Lepidosauria; Squamata; Elapidae
Source: RefSeq, a predicted model, not a curated record